UACGUAGGGUGCGAGCGUUGUCCGGAAUUAUUGGGCGUAAAGGGCUCGUAGGCGGUUUGUCGCGUCGGGAGUGAAAACCUUGGGCUUAACUCAGGGCUUGCUUUCGAUACGGGCAGACUAGAGGUAUGCAGGGGAGAACGGAAUUCCUGGUGCAGCGGUGAAAUGCGCAGAUAUCAGGAGGAAUACCGGUGGCGAAAGCGACUCUCUGGACGGCAACUGACGCUGAGGCACGAAAGCGUGGGGAGCAAACAGG
This 253-nucleotide ribosomal RNA is filed under the name uncultured bacterium. RNAcentral describes it as "partial 16S ribosomal RNA". It matches the Rfam family "Bacterial small subunit ribosomal RNA", at positions 524 to 776 of the family's 1533-position model. The record is from RNAcentral.